This 777-nucleotide long non-coding RNA is filed under the name Mus spicilegus (steppe mouse). RNAcentral describes it as "lncRNA (ENSMSIG00000006160.1)". The record is from RNAcentral. Lineage: Eukaryota; Metazoa; Chordata; Mammalia; Rodentia; Muridae.
CAGAAAGCUGCUCCUGAACUAACUCUUUCGUGUCCUUGUAAAGCAUCAGAAAGCAGGAUAGCAUAGGCUAGAACAAAGGCCCUGGGCAAUGACACUUUCAGAGCAGCAAACCUUGCUGGGGUCACUGCUUAGGCUUGAAUGCUGCUUGGAGCUUGCGUGUACGGAGGAAAAUUGCAAGAGGGGAGAGAUUACUGUACCUACUCUGUGACUGACAUGUGAGGAAAACAGUGCAUAGCAUUUCCGUGUUUACAGAUGGCAGAGAACUCUGAAGAUGCCCACCCUUCAAAUGCACAGCCAACAUGGAGUGAGUGGAUGAGAAAUACUGAGUCCCCUGGAAAAAGAUGUGUGUGACUGGACCCAUUUUCAACAAUUCUUUAACUCAUUCAAAUCCCCAGUGCACUUGAAAAUACAUUUCAAUAUGUACAGAGUUCCCUCUGAACUGUGUACAUUAUUAAAGAACACAACAACAAAUCACCUGUUUAUCAUAAAAUAGUUCAUGUAAAAACAAGAAUAUAUAAGCUUGUCACAUUCUCUACCAAAGAACUUUGAUCAUCUGUUUUUCUUCAUCUGUUUAUUUAUAUACUUUUGUGAAAGUCAUUCAGAAAUUUCACAUAGUAAUGGAAAUAUCAUUUUCAUUUUUAAAAUAUGUAUAAAGACUGUCUUUGUAAUUUCCUUAGUUGAAAUAUAAAGUGCGAUAAUUAAUGUGACCACUCAGAAUGGCCUUUUUCUGGAGAAGGGAAAUGUGGAGAAACUUCUAGUUUCUUGGAAGUUUUCAAU